This 141-nucleotide transfer RNA is filed under the name Nanobdellota archaeon. RNAcentral's name for it is "tRNA-Thr". It matches the Rfam family "tRNA". Rfam says of the family: Transfer RNA (tRNA) molecules are approximately 80 nucleotides in length. The record is from RNAcentral. Lineage: Archaea; Nanobdellati; Nanobdellota.
GCCUCUAUAGCUCAACCUGGCAGAGCGUCGGUUUUGUAAACCGAAGGUUGCAGGUUCAACUUAACGCAAAGCAAAGCUUUGCGGACUUUGCUGAUGCAAAGUGAAGCGAAAAAUUCGCUCAUGAAAAUCCUGCUGGAGGCA